This 324-nucleotide unclassified non-coding RNA is filed under the name soil metagenome. RNAcentral's name for it is "partial contains 5.8S ribosomal RNA, internal transcribed spacer 2, and large subunit ribosomal RNA". The stretch from base 1 to 120 matches the Rfam family "5.8S ribosomal RNA", at positions 35 to 154 of the family's 154-position model. The record is from RNAcentral.
GAUGAAGAACGCAGCGAAAUGCGAUAAGUAGUGUGAAUUGCAAAAUUCAGUGAAUCAUCGAAUCUUUGAACGCACAUUGCGCCCCUUGGUAUUCCAUGGGGCAUGCCUGUUCGAGCGUCAUUUGUACCUUCAAGCUUUGCUUGGUGUUGGGUGUUUGUCCCGAGGGACUCGCCUUAAAGUAAUUGGCAGCCAGUGUUUGGUUUUGAAGCGCAGCACAAGUCGCGAUUCAAGGCUACACGCCCGCUUCCACAAGCCUUUUUUCACUUUUGACCUCGGAUCAGGUAGGGAUACCCGCUGAACUUAAGCAUAUCAAUAAGCGGAGGA